AGGUCAGAAUGAGUGACAGUGUUGAGCUAAUGAAAGAAUAUUGCACUCGUCCCGGCCUAU
Molecule: microRNA precursor, 60 nt
Filed under: Limulus polyphemus (Atlantic horseshoe crab)
Lineage: Eukaryota; Metazoa; Arthropoda; Merostomata; Xiphosura; Limulidae
Description: Lpo-Mir-92-P9_pre stem-loop
Source: RNAcentral